GACAAGGUUCAAGCACGUCAAUAACAAAGACAAGGUGGCGUCAUAGUGUCUCCUUCCCAACUCAAUCAACCACUCAUCAAACUUCACCCCCCGGUCACCAACUGUUGCAGGGUUGGCAUCAAUAUCGCACUGAGCACGCAUGGCACAAAGGACCUCCGACAUGGCUUGUAGCCGUCCAGAAGUAAUUUCGUCCUGCACAUAUACGCGUGGCGCCGCAAUCCUCCAACGAACAGCACUCACGGACUUGCUCACGGAUGCCAGGUGUGUUGUGCGCUCUGCAUCCCCCGCAACACGGCGCCCCGUCACAUAUGCAGGAUUGCAGGGUUUGCAGACGCUACCGCUUGGCCGGGUGCCUGCAGUCGCAGUCAGGGGACAGCGCGCAGUUUCUCCAGCGACGUCCGCCACGCACCGUGGAGCAACUUCGUUACCCUUCGUUACCGACCACUCCAGCUUUCGCCACUACGGUAUCAAAUGGCUAGCUCAUAGGUGCACCCUUGUAGUAGCGCCCGCACAUGAUGUAGCACUAUCGGUAUGUCUGAUGCCUACUCAAAAGCUGCGCCUCGUGACCCAUCACACUCGUGAGUCCAUGGCGUCGCGGAAGCCAGGUAGGGAACAGACACAAAGAGCCCGAGAUCUGCAGUGUUAUUCUCCAUCUGUGGCUUCUACACGCACCUUGAGCCGAAGCUGCUGCGGGAGGGGAGCGGGCGGCGGGGGGGGGGGGGGGGGGCGGGGGUGACGUACGUACUGGCAGGUAUUUUGCGCAGCAAGCGUCCACAACGCGCCAGCGUCCUCUGCUUAACAUUAGUAAUAUGCAAGCCCACAUUUUAUAGCGAACGGUGAAGACCUGGGCUCUGAGUCGCGAGAAUCCGUUACUGAAGCUCUCGCACUGCCAGUCCCGCACUCAAAACUACGACCCCCAGGGCCGCCCCGUGCACACACGCACGCAAUUUGAGUACCUCUGGCACAUGGUUAAGCGUUCCCAAGCUUGUUUGAGGGCCCAAGUCGAUUACCUCUGGCAGCCCGGGCAAUCGACGGGGAUCACGCAAGAAAACCACUGCUGGCAUAACAACUGGUCACAAUAUUAUUCUAACAUGGUUUAAUUCUGGUUCAAGCUCCUGGUUCUGCUCGGUUCUUACUAGUCCUAGUGGGCUAAAUGGAAGACAAGCAUACAGAGUGGAAUGAGGACCAAUACGCCUUUGAUACGCGUCGCCUUUGCGUGACCGCAGCUGAAGAAG
Molecule: long non-coding RNA, 1235 nt
Filed under: Chlamydomonas reinhardtii
Lineage: Eukaryota; Viridiplantae; Chlorophyta; Chlorophyceae; Chlamydomonadales; Chlamydomonadaceae
Description: long non-coding RNA (CREI_LNC000113)
Source: RNAcentral